This 275-nucleotide ribosomal RNA is filed under the name uncultured bacterium. RNAcentral describes it as "partial 16S ribosomal RNA". It matches the Rfam family "Bacterial small subunit ribosomal RNA", at positions 399 to 691 of the family's 1533-position model. The record is from RNAcentral.
GCGUGAGUGAUGAAGGCCUUAGGGUUGUAAAGCUCUUUUACCCGGGAUGAUAAUGACAGUACCGGGAGAAUAAGCCCCGGCUAACUCCGUGCCAGCAGCCGCGGUAAUACGGAGGGGGCUAGCGUUGUUCGGAAUUACUGGGCGUAAAGCGCACGUAGGCGGCUUUGUAAGUUAGAGGUGAAAGCCCGGGGCUCAACUCCGGAAUUGCCUUUAAGACUGCAUCGCUAGAAUUGUGGAGAGGUAAGUGGAAUUCCGAGUGUAGAGGUGAAAUUCGU